AGCCUUUUGUAUCCCUGCCGAGAUUUCUUCACACACCAGACCACAAGGGCUGAUGAGACUUCCAAUAUAAGUGAAGCG
Molecule: non-coding RNA, 78 nt
Organism: Schistosoma curassoni
Lineage: Eukaryota; Metazoa; Platyhelminthes; Trematoda; Strigeidida; Schistosomatidae
Source: Rfam